RNAcentral lists this ribosomal RNA (962 nucleotides) under Streptococcus gordonii. RNAcentral's name for it is "bacterial SSU rRNA". It matches the Rfam family "Bacterial small subunit ribosomal RNA", at positions 485 to 1446 of the family's 1533-position model. The record is from RNAcentral. RNAcentral also lists the same sequence under 1 other name. Lineage: Bacteria; Bacillati; Bacillota; Bacilli; Lactobacillales; Streptococcaceae.
AGAAAGGGACGGCUAANUACGUGCCAGCAGCCGCGGUAAUACGUAGGUCCCGAGCGUUGUCCGGAUUUAUUGGGCGUAAAGCGAGCGCAGGCGGUUAGAUAAGUCUGAAGUUAAAGGCUGUGGCUUAACCAUAGUACGCUUUGGAAACUGUUUAACUUGAGUGCAGAAGGGGAGAGUGGAAUUCCAUGUGUAGCGGUGAAAUGCGUAGAUAUAUGGAGGAACACCGGUGGCGAAAGCGGCUCUCUGGUCUGUAACUGACGCUGAGGCUCGAAAGCGUGGGGAGCGAACAGGAUUAGAUACCCUGGUAGUCCACGCCGUAAACGAUGAGUGCUAGGUGUUAGGCCCUUUCCGGGGCUUAGUGCCGCAGCUAACGCAUUAAGCACUCCGCCUGGGGAGUACGACCGCAAGGUUGAAACUCAAAGGAAUUGACGGGGGCCCGCACAAGCGGUGGAGCAUGUGGUUUAAUUCGAAGCAACGCGAAGAACCUUACCAGGUCUUGACAUCCCGAUGCCCGCUCUAGAGAUAGAGUUUUACUUCGGUACAUCGGUGACAGGUGGUGCAUGGUUGUCGUCAGCUCGUGUCGUGAGAUGUUGGGUUAAGUCCCGCAACGAGCGCAACCCUUAUUGUUAGUUGCCAUCAUUCAGUUGGGCACUCUAGCGAGACUGCCGGUAAUAAACCGGAGGAAGGUGGGGAUGACGUCAAAUCAUCAUGCCCCUUAUGACCUGGGCUACACACGUGCUACAAUGGCUGGUACAACGAGUCGCAAGUCGGUGACGGCAAGCUAAUCUCUUAAAGCCAGUCUCAGUUCGGAUUGUAGGCUGCAACUCGCCUACAUGAAGUCGGAAUCGCUAGUAAUCGCGGAUCAGCACGCCGCGGUGAAUACGUUCCCGGGCCUUGUACACACCGCCCGUCACACCACGAGAGUUUGUAACACCCGCAAGUCGGUGAGGUANCCUUUUAGG